UACGGAGGGGGCUAGCGUUGUUCGGAAUUACUGGGCGUAAAGCGCGCGUAGGCGGACCUGCAAGUCGGGGGUGAAAGCCCGAGGCUCAACCUCGGAACUGCCUUCGAUACUGCGGGUCUCGAGUCCGGGAGAGGUGAGUGGAAUUCCUGGUGUAGCGGUGAAAUGCGCAGAUAUCAGGAGGAACACCGGUGGCGAAGGCGGAUCUCUGGGCCUUACCUGACGCUGAGGCGCGAAAGCUAGGGGAGCAAACAGG
RNAcentral lists this ribosomal RNA (253 nucleotides) under uncultured bacterium. RNAcentral's name for it is "partial 16S ribosomal RNA". It matches the Rfam family "Bacterial small subunit ribosomal RNA", at positions 524 to 776 of the family's 1533-position model. The record is from RNAcentral.